UUGGAUUGAAAAUCAAAAUGAAAUUCUCUCCGUGUGUCGUUCCAUUUUUAAAUAUCUUGUUAAAAUUUGUAAAGCGAAUGUUAAAUAAGGUCAGCAUCAUACAAUUCAAGAAGCAAUGACGUGUUUUCCCGUUAAAUGUGUAACCAUAGAAAAACACCUUGCUAUUCUUAUUCUUUCAAUUCUUAUUCUUUUAGUUUGUGACGAUCGUGUAUAAUCUCUGAUAGAACACGGACGCACGCACCGACGCACGCACGCAUUCACGAUAGGAAGAUGUGUUCUCCAUAUUAUGCGAAUAUCGUCAUCAAGAGCGUUGGUGUCUGGGUUGCUCUGGAUAUCUGCCUUCGGCGGGACGAAAAGAAACAGCAAGGAGAGUGAAGAAGGUUAGCGGAUGUUAUCGUACAAACGCGAAACAACGUGUAUUUGAAAAAUAUAACGGAUGUAACGGUAUCAACUGCUAUUUUAUUGAAAUUGCAUCUAAUCUAAUCUAAUCGGCUUUUUCUCUGUGGUUCGGGAUUAACGAGCUUAGCUUGCUUGUGGUUUUGAUUAAACGAAGAAAUAAAAAAUGCUUUUGAAAUUCAUGGAAAGUUACUAGUUAGAAAAGAUUUCAAAAAAAAGGAACAAGAAAAAAAAAGAAGAAAUGAAGAUGGAAGAGAUUAACCGAGACGUCGAAGAUAUUUAAGAGAGAGAGAGAGAGAGAGAGAGAGAGAGAGAGAGAGAGUCUGUCUGACGUCAUUUGACGUAACAGUAAUAGUAGAGAGGAAAACGUGAUCGACGUAUCCUUCGUUGAGAUCGCUAAAGCGUCUUCACCAACACGCAUACAGGUGUUCUCGCAAUCUAAGCAGUGACAGACGUUUCUGGACUGGUACAUACAUAUAUCAAUUACAAUAUCAAAUUCCUUAUGGACCGAACGUCUCGCUGAAUUAGUUUUGUUUAAAAAGAAAAAAAAAGAAGAAGAAAAAGAAAAAGAAAAGAAUGAUGAUAAUAAUGAUGAUAACGAUAAUGAUAAUUCGUUCUUUCAAACUCCAUCGUCGAAAUUAAAAACCUAACGCGCAAGUUUAUACGAACAAUUACAAAACAUUAUAUCGCGUAAUUUCGUGUAAAAUUAUCACGAUGAAAGUCAAAUAUAUUCAUGAUAGAUAUCAAAAAUAUAUUUAGAUCCUGAUAAAAUAUAUUACGAAUAUCGGAUCUGAUUAAUUUCGUAGCAAACGCGUAAAAAGAAUAUCGAGUUAAAAAUGCAAUAUAUAAUAAUAAGACGAAGUAAAGAUGUAGAUGGUCUGAAGCCACUGUGACUGAAGGAUGCAGCUAAACAAAAAGGAAUUAAACGAAAUAAAACAAAACGAAACAAAACAGAAAUGAACGAAAAGAAAUGAAAGAACGAAAAAGAGACACCCACUCCUCACCUUCAUCCCCCUGAAAAAAGAAAAAGAAAAAGAUGACGCAAGAAAAAUAUCAAUCGUCGUUAAGAUGCUAAUUCGAGAAGCAAAAGUCAACGAACGAGAUCCCGAUGGAGGUGGAUGCCAAGAACGAUGGCAGUUAGUAGUAGUAAACUCGUCUCAUCGUUGCUGGCAUAACAGGUUUCGGUGAAAUUCGAGAGAAUGCGUUCGCGUUCGCGAGGGAACUCUCCUCUCUCGAGUUCAGUCCCGGCAGCACGCGCACUCUCGACGAAGGAAAUCCACCCGUGGACGACCUGGAAGCGAAUUACGUCAGACGACCUGGGGUCCAACGAACCCAGAUUCCGUACAUUUACUGCUGCUCUUUCCGGCAGAUCCAUGCGAGAGAAGAAGAAAGUAAUGGCCAGGUUCAAGGGCCUGGAAAGUCCGGUUCGUUGUUCCAAAUUCCAAGUGGACCUACUCGAGGAAUUAAAGAUGUAAUCUUUAGGGUAAGGUACGAUUUACGUUGAAAAGGGGGUAUGGAUCUCUCCGAUCGCAUCUUCCGAAUGAUUUCCGAUGAUUUCCGUGCUCCUUCGAGAGGCUUUGAAAACGUUGACAGAUAAUAUGGCCGUCGUAUAUGAUACCUUUACUUCCUUGAAUCGAGAACAUGAUCUUUUUCGAUCGAAUCUCUCAACGUAGGUAAGUUUAAUAUGCGAAUAAACAAUUGUAAGAGCGUACGAACGACACGCGUCGGAGAUCUCGCUGACUGGUACCAUGCUCUCCAUCUUUUUUUAUGUUCCACUUUAACUGGCGCCACUCUGCAAAUGACACGUAGUCGAUUCUACGUAUACCCACUCGAUCUGAUGACGCAUCGAUCUUGUUACCAUAUUUUUUCUUUCUCUUUCUCCGAUAAAGAAAGAGAAAGAAAACGAAGAAGAAAAAGAAAGAAAGAAAGGAAACGUCACCUUACCAUAUACUUUUGCAAAUGCAAAAUCAAAAGAGUUUACUAAUUUUUCUCGAUAAAAAUCGUCGGACUUCAGCUUUCUUUUUCGAAGUUAUUUUUUUUCCCCUUUGUUUUUUGUUUACUUUCUUUCUCUCUUUUUCAUUAUUGUCAUUAUUAUUACUAUUAUUAUUUUUCUUUCAAAGGUAAAGAUAAAAAAAAAGAAGAAGCUUUAAACAAAAGUUUAAGAAGUGAUCCCAAGAAGCAAAGGCACAACCUGACCCAGACGAUCAGGACUCGUUCAUCCCUUCCCUUCCUUCCUGGUCGGUCAAGGCCAACAUCGUCUCCCGCAUCUCCUUAGUUCGUUUUAUAUACUCUCCUUCAUUCACUUAUCACGCAAAAAGGCUGUGUCAGCGUGAGCGAGUGCCUUCCUUCGAAAGUCUUUUAACGAGCUACACUCGCACACAAUUUCACCUAACACAUAUUAAACCUGUGUAUCUAUAAAAGUAGAGAAUCAGCCUUUUUAGAAAUAGGAAGUCGAACGAAUUCUUUGGAAAAUUACUUCACCUUUACAAAAUCGAUAAUGAUAAAUAAAUCGCAGUGAAUAUUUGCGAACGCUUGCGACGAGCACAGCUUGUACUUUUUCGCUUUUGUUGUUAGAUUGAAAAGAGAAAAAGAAAGAGAAAUAAAAGUAAAAGAAAGAGAAAGAAAGAGGAAGAAGAAGAAGAAGAAGAAAACGGAAGGAGAGAAAAAGAAAAAAACUGCUAAAUAUAUGAUUAAAAAAAAAGAAAGAAAGAAAGGAAGAAAAAGAAGAGAAUAAAAAAAGAAGAAUGCUUCUCAUUUUGAUGAAAUUCUUCAGCAACUUUCGUAAUCAACGAUUCUUCUCGUUCGAUAAGCGGAUCGUUUCGUUAUAUCUCUUCGUAUUUCUUGAUUCUUUCUCUCUUUUUCUCUCUCUCUUUCCGAAGCCGGUGAAUGUCAAGGCCAGUCAUCCUCGUUCCUAUUGGUCGACGGCCAUUACCCCGGAAGAGUUCUCUCUCGCGGGUCCGGAACGUCGCGCCGUCGACCGUGGAGAAUAUCGAUCUCGGUCGUUUCGAAUAAGAAACGUUCAAAGAGAAACUCUGCGAGUAGUCGAGUUGAGAGAAAAUCAAUUUUUCGAGAGGAAAAAUAAAAAAGAAAAAAGAAAGAAAAAAAGAAAGAAAAUAAAUGGAAUCGUUCGUUAAUCGUUCGUUCGUUCGUUCGUUUUUUCGUUCGUUCGUUCGUUCUUUUUUCUUCGAGUUUGUUCAUUCGAGUCGACAUUCCGAUGCAAUCCGAUUGGAAAAGAAAGUCUCCUUACGAGAAUCGAGAGGAUCGAGUGGAAUGUUCCGGGUGGGCCGGAAGGGGAAUCCGCUGAUGAUUCAUCUCUUUCUCUCCUAACGAGUGACGUAAGAUCGAUAAAGAUCGUGAUGUAAUUAUACAUGUUCUUUCGAUCGUAACAUACGUAUUUAUCUAUUUAAUAAGACGAUUGCCAAAAUCAAGAUUGAUAAAUUCUGCUGUUUUAACUCAACUUUAUAUGUUACGAAUUCUUUUUUUUUUUAAUUUUAUUAUUUCAUUUAUAUUUCUUAUUUUAAUGUAAAUUUUAACAAUUAAAAUUGAUAUUUUACAGUCGAUAUACGUAUACAGAUAUAUAGAUAUCUAUAUAAAGAAGAAUUGUCAAAAUCGUAUUACUCAGGAUAUUUUACGUUGCAUUUCUUAUUCCAUAUAUACGUAUGUUUGUGU
Long non-coding RNA from Vespula vulgaris, 4065 nucleotides. RefSeq lists it as uncharacterized. The transcript has 3 exons. Lineage: Eukaryota; Metazoa; Arthropoda; Insecta; Hymenoptera; Vespidae. The record is from RefSeq and is a predicted model, not a curated record.